GAGUUUGAUCAUGGCUCAGAUUGAACGCUGGCGGCAUGCCUUACACAUGCAAGUCGAACGGCAGCACGGGAGCUUGCUCCUGGGUGGCGAGUGGCGAACGGGUGAGUAAUGCAUCGGAACGUAUCCUGGAGUGGGGGAUAACGUAGCGAAAGUUAUGCUAAUACCGCAUAUUCUGUGAGCAGGAAAGCGGGGGACCUUCGGGCCUCGCGCUCUUGGAGCGGCCGAUGUCGGAUUAGCUAGUUGGUGAGGUAAAGGCUCACCAAGGCGACGAUCCGUAGCAGGUCUGAGAGGAUGAUCUGCCACACUGGAACUGAGACACGGUCCAGACUCCUACGGGAGGCGAGCAGUGGGGAAUUUUGGACAAUGGGGGCAACCCUGAUCCAGCCAUGCCGCGUGAGUG
This 400-nucleotide ribosomal RNA is filed under the name bacterium enrichment culture clone ALO1_GLFRUDD03F6DEA. Its description in RNAcentral is "bacterial SSU rRNA". It matches the Rfam family "Bacterial small subunit ribosomal RNA", at positions 9 to 407 of the family's 1533-position model. The record is from RNAcentral.